UCGUGUUAAUUGAUCAGAACGAGCGGUUUGUUUGCCAAUUGAUUAUAAAAUAUUUCUUCUAUGGGAACGAACAAUCCUGUUUUCUCGCGACGUUUUCUGGGAAGAAGAAAGAACGUCAUUCUUUGAUCGGUCCAUGUAAUGCGAUUCCCUCACCGCGAAUACAGUACAAAAAAUAUCGAUGAAAGCUUGAUUGAAUUCUAAAACAAAUUAAAAAAGAAAAAGAGAUCUGAAAAUAAAAAAAAAUUUUUUAUAUACAUGUAACAUAUGUGAUGGUGAAUAUAGCACGUUUUGUAUCAGCAAGAAUUAGAGAAUUUUAAAUUAAAAAU
This is a long non-coding RNA of Apis florea (little honeybee), 326 nucleotides long. The record is from RefSeq and is a predicted model, not a curated record. NCBI's taxonomy places the organism in Eukaryota, Metazoa, Arthropoda, Insecta, Hymenoptera, Apidae.